RNAcentral lists this ribosomal RNA (253 nucleotides) under uncultured bacterium. Its description in RNAcentral is "partial 16S ribosomal RNA". It matches the Rfam family "Bacterial small subunit ribosomal RNA", at positions 524 to 776 of the family's 1533-position model. The record is from RNAcentral.
UACGUAGGGUGCAAGCGUUAAUCGGAAUUACUGGGCGUAAAGCGCGCGCAGGCGGUUGUGCAAGACAGGUGUGAAAUCCCCGGGCUUAACCUGGGAACUGCACUUGUGACUGCACAGCUGGAGUACGGCAGAGGGGGAUGGAAUUCCGCGUGUAGCAGUGAAAUGCGUAGAUAUGCGGAGGAACACCGAUGGCGAAGGCAGUCCCCUGGGCCUGUACUGACGCUCAUGCACGAAAGCGUGGGGAGCAAACAGG